GUUGUAUGGUUAAGUGACUAAGCGUACAGGGCGGAUGCCUUGGCAAUCAGAGGCGAAGAAGGACGUGCUAAUCUGCGAAAAGCUUGGAUGAGUCGAUAAGAGGCGUUUAAUCCAAGAUGUCCGAAUGGGGAAACCCGAUGGAUGAAGAAUCCAUCAUUUCAUUGUGAAUACAUAGCAAUGAAAGGCGAACCGGGAGAACUGAAACAUCUAAGUACCCCGAGGAAAAGAAAUCAACCGAGAUUCUGUGAGUAGCGGCGAGCGAAAGCGGAAGAGCCAGUAAGUUUUAGCUAGUGUAUUAGAGGAAUUGGCUGGGAAGCCAAAUCAAAGAGGGUGAUAAUCCCGUACUCGAAAAUACGAUAGUGGAACUAAGCUUACGAUAAGUAGGGCGGGACACGAGAAAUCCUGUUUGAAGAUGGGGGACCAUCCUCCAAGGCUAAAUACUCCUGAUUGACCGAUAGUGAACCAGUACUGUGAAGGAAAGGCGAAAAGAACCCCGGUGAGGGGAGUGAAAUAGAACCUGAAACCCUGUACGUACAAGCAGUAGGAGCGAGGGAAACCUUGUGACUGCGUACCUUUUGUAUAAUGGGUCAGCGACUUAUAUUUUGUAGCGAGGUUAACUGAAUAAGGGAGCCGAAGGGAAACCGAGUCUUAACUGGGCGUUGAGUUGCAAGGUAUAGACCCGAAACCCGGUGAUCUAGCCAUGGGCAGGUUGAAGGUUGGGUAACACUAACUGGAGGACCGAACCGACUAAUGUUGAAAAAUUAGCGGAUGACUUGUGGCUGGGGGUGAAAGGCCAAUCAAACCGGGAGAUAGCUGGUUCUCCCCGAAAUCUAUUUAGGUAGAGCCUUGAGCGGACACCUUCGGGGUAGAGCACUGUUUCGGCUAGGGGUCCAUCCCGGAUUACCAACCCGAUGCAAACUGCGAAUACCGAAGAGUGAUACUCAGGAGACACACGGCGGGUGCUAACGUUCGUCGUGGAGAGGGAAACAACCCAGACCGCCAGCUAAGGUCCCAAAGUCUAUAUUAAGUGGGAAACGAAGUGGGAAGGCUUAGACAGCUAGGAUGUUGGCUUAGAAGCAGCCAUCAUUUAAAGAAAGCGUAAUAGCUCACUAGUCGAGUCGGCCUGCGCGGAAGAUGUAACGGGGCUCAAAUAUAGCACCGAAGCUGCGGCAUCAGGCGUAUCACUAAUACGCCUUACGAUUAACAACAUCGCCUGAAACGAAGUGAAAUGGGAUGUUGGUCAAGCGUUCCAAACGUUGAGGCGGUUGGAGGGUAAUCGAAGAGAGGAUUAUUAGUGAUACGUCUGUUGGGUAGGGGAGCGUUGUGUAAGCGGAAGAAGGUGGCUCGAGAGGGUUGCUGGACGUAUCACAAGUGCGAAUGCUGACAUAAGUAACGAUAAAACGAGUGAAAAACUCGUUCGCCGGAAGACCAAGGGUUCCUGUCCAACGUUAAUCGGGGCAGGGUGAGUCGGCCCCUAAGGCGAGGCUGAAAAGCGUAGUCGAUGGGAAACGGGUUAAUAUUCCCGUACUUGGUAAAGCUGCGAUGUGGGGACGGAGAAGGUUAGGUAAGCGGACUGUUGGAAAUGUCCGUUUAAGUUGGUAGUUGGGAGCGGUAGGCAAAUCCGCUGCUCCAUUCAACAACGAGAGAUGAUGACGAGUUCCUAAGGGAAUGAAGUUACCGAUACCCGGCUUCCAGGAAAAGCCACUAAGCGAAAGGCUUUAUUAAACCGUACUGAAAACCGACACAGGUGGUCAGGUAGAGAAUACUCAGGCGCUUGAGAGAACUCGGGUGAAGGAACUAGGCAAAAUAGCACCGUAACUUCGGGAGAAGGUGCGCUUACAGUAAUUGUAGUCCCUUGCGGAUGAAGGUGAAGUAAGUCGAAGAUACCAGCUGGCUGCAACUGUUUAUUAAAAACACAGCACUCUGCAAACACGAAAGUGGACGUAUAGGGUGUGAUGCCUGCCCGGUGCUGGAAGGUUAAUUGAUGGUGUUAUCGAAAGAGAAGCUCCUGAUCGAAGCCCCAGUAAACGGCGGCCGUAACUAUAACGGUCCUAAGGUAGCGAAAUUCCUUGUCGGGUAAGUUCCGACCUGCACGAAUGGCAUAAUGAUGGCCAGGCUGUCUCCACCCGAGACUCAGUGAAAUUGAAAUCGCCGUGAAGAUGCGGUGUACCCGCGGCUAGACGGAAAGACCCCGUGAACCUUUACUAUAGCUUGACACUGAACAUUGAAUUUUGAUGUGUAGGAUAGGUGGGAGCCUUUGAAGCAGUGACGCCAGUCAUUGUGGAGGCGACCUUGAAAUACCACCCUUUAACGUUUGAUGUUCUAACGAAGUGCCUGAAACGGGUACUCGGACAGUGUCUGGUGGGUAGUUUGACUGGGGCGGUCUCCUCCCAAAGCGUAACGGAGGAGCACGAAGGUUUGCUAAUGACGGUCGGACAUCGUCAGGUUAGUGCAAUGGUAUAAGCAAGCUUAACUGCGAGACGGACAAGUCGAGCAGGUGCGAAAGCAGGUCAUAGUGAUCCGGUGGUUCUGAAUGGAAGGGCCAUCGCUCAACGGAUAAAAGGUACUCCGGGGAUAACAGGCUGAUACCGCCCAAGAGUUCAUAUCGACGGCGGUGUUUGGCACCUCGAUGUCGGCUCAUCACAUCCUGGGGCUGAAGUAGGUCCCAAGGGUAUGGCUGUUCGCCAUUUAAAGUGGUACGCGAGCUGGGUUUAGAACGUCGUGAGACAGUUCGGUCCCUAUCUGCCGUGGGCGUUGGAUGAUUGAUUGGGGCUGCUCCUAGUACGAGAGGACCGGAGUGGACGCAUCACUGGUGUUCCAGUUGUCUCGCCAGAGGCAUUGCUGGGUAGCUAAAUGCGGAAGAGAUAAGUGCUGAAAGCAUCUAAGCACGAAACUUGCCAAGAGAUGAGUCAUCCCUGACUUUAAGUCAGUAAGGGUUGUUUAAGACUAAGACGUAGAUAGGUUGGGUGUGUAAGUGUAGUGAUACAUUGAGCUAACCAAUACUAAUUGCCCGAGAGGCUUAACCAUACAACGCUCAAG
This 3039-nucleotide ribosomal RNA is filed under the name Pasteurella multocida. Its description in RNAcentral is "bacterial LSU rRNA". It matches the Rfam family "Bacterial large subunit ribosomal RNA". Lineage: Bacteria; Pseudomonadati; Pseudomonadota; Gammaproteobacteria; Pasteurellales; Pasteurellaceae. The record is from RNAcentral.